Molecule: long non-coding RNA, 4931 nt
Filed under: Heterocephalus glaber (naked mole-rat)
Lineage: Eukaryota; Metazoa; Chordata; Mammalia; Rodentia; Bathyergidae
Description: lncRNA (ENSHGLG00100052142.1)
Source: RNAcentral
GUUUACUUUAUGUAUGAUAUAUAAAUUCUUAGAGUUCUUGUUUGUUUUCAAUAAUAAGAAGUUAAAGCUAAAUGUUGCUAAAGAGAAUAAUUAUUGAUUGGAAGAAAUUUUUCAACAAUCAGAAAUAUGAGCAGUCACUUAAAAACUAGGCAAAUAAAAAGAAGAAAGAGAAAUAAACUAUUUGCUUGAACUGAAAUACUGAAUUGUGAAACAUUGACAAGAUCAGAAGUAUUAGAUGCCUGCUCUUAACCUAACCUAAAAAAUGUUCAACAUUAUUAUUUAGUAUAUGCAUGCUAUAAUGAAUAUAAAUUAUUCUAGGAAUUUUUGUUGUUGUUAUUGCUGUUGUGACUGUUGUUUUUGUUUGUAUGAAAUGUAUUUUGGACAGACUAUUAAGGUAGGCCGGCAAUGAUAUCCAAUCAAUUGAGUAAUGUAUUAACAAUAUAGAAGAUACAAACUUGAGAGUAUAAAUCUUUCUGCUUAAUAUUAAAACAAAUUAGUAAAUACAAGUACAAAGAGAUUCCCAAACUCGUAAUUUGACCCAAAGGAAGAAGUACUUGUAAAAUACAACAAUCAGGCAAGAAUCAAGAGAGAAAUAAAGGAAAAAUCAUUUUAAGAAAGGACAUCAGAAAAGAAUGUGAACAAGAACAUUUCCCAGCCUGUUGCCACCUCUACUCCUAAAUCACGGCAACAACCGCAGCAUAUUUCAGAAGGAUGGCUUAAAGGAAGGAAGUUAUGACCAAUUUGGGAAAGAAAAAUUCCUUUAGGGAUGGAAAGCAAAACAAUCUUGCUCCUUCUAACACUAGGUUCAAUGGCUUCUCUAGCUAGAAAUUUAGCGCUGAAGGGCUUAUGAAAUCCCAAGCAUUAUACUGAGUCUAAAAUAGGGGUUGGAGAGGUAUCAGGGCUUUCUUUCUUUCUUCAUUCAAUCAUCAUGGAGCACAUGAACUCUGUACCUUAGUUGGGCGAGCCUUUCUUAAAGAACCAAUGAAAAUAUGCAUACAGUUAUCUCAAGUAUGUAAAUUAUAAAGGCUUUACCCCAGGACAAAUGACUAAUUUUUAUGAAAACAUUUUUAAUAUCAUUGUUUAUUCAUGACCUGAUUACACAACUUACAUGAAUCCCAGGCAAAUAUUUGAACUAGUUCCAACAAACUAGUGGGCUAGUAGAUGUUAAUUCUUUUGUUCAUCUGUCUUAUGUAUUUAUAAAAUAUCUAUGCUUUACUGAUAGCCCUGUGAGGUAUAAGUAUUCUGGGGAUUUGGAGAUAAGAGUUCAAAGACAAAGAUCAAAAUGAAAGCAGAAAGUGUGGAGGUUGGGUAGAAGUAUUGAGAAGAAAAAAGAAAGUUGUAUACAUGAGACCUCCAUUUUCUGCAGAAAAGAAGAAAAGUCCAAUAAAUGUAGAGACGCAAUCUCAAGAUUAAGAUGGGCAAUGAUAUCAUCGUCAAACAAAUUCAGAAGAGAAUGUGUCUACAGAUCUGCAAACUCACUAUAAAGCCCUGUAGGGGAUAGAGAAGAUGUAUAAUGUGAGAUCGACCCCCAAGUCGCUUGUAAUCUCUAUGAAGCUGCUAACACAGGAAACAGGAAAAAUGACUGAUGAUGACUUUCGUGGUUCAUACUUGAGAGGUCAGAGAAUUGACAGCAGAGAAUAUUGGCAUGAAAGUGAAUCCCUUUAUGAAGAACACGCCAACUUCAGGAGCCUCAAAUAGGGCAUGGGAUCUAGCAAAGCAAAAGACCCAGCUGUCUCCAGGCAAUAGCUAAGGUAGAAGAGUCACAAAGGAGGGGAAUCCCUGCCCAAUCUGGCCCCCACCUCCUCCUCCACCUCCUUGCUUCGGUCUCCUUCAUUCUUUCUUCAACAAGCAUGAACCUCUAGGAGAUGCUUCUUUUGCUCAGAUACUGCGUAUAGGUCUUCCUCCCUCACUUCCGUUAGGAUUCUUCUUAAAUAACAGAUAAAUAUUUGUCAGUGAGUUGGAUCACGGCCAUCUCAUAAAAGUGCAAUAAAUCUCCUCCCCUCCUUUCCUACUUAUCAUGGAAUCUGUUGACCAUCUUCCCCUAAUAGAUGAAAGUCUAUGAAGGCAGAAAAAUGUUUCAGCUUUAUAUGUAACUCCAGUCCCCCAGAAAAGUGCCAGGAACAUAAUUGGCAUUCAAUAAAUAUUGAGGAAGUAAGGAAGGAAAGGAAGAAAGGAAGGAAGGGGAGAGGAAGAGGGAUGGGAGGAAGGAAGAUUAAAGUGUGGAUGCAUUUCCUGAAGACCUUGAAGGCAAGUGCUUCAAUUGUAAAGUUGAUGUCAUUAGACGAAUCUAAUUAUUUAGUAAAUACUUUUAAGCUAAAUUCACUGAUCAGUUAGAAAGUUUCCUUGCUUUUUAAUUUCUUACCCAGUAAUAGUCACAUAUAACCCCUCAGUCUCUUAAAUAUUUAUCAGUAGAUUCACUUUUAACAAAAGCCAUGCUUUCCUUGAUAGAGCAAGGGCUGUGCUCACUACCAACCUGCCAAUGGAAAGAAAAAGAAAUGUAAAUGAAAAGUGAAAACUCAUCAUGAUAACCACAAAUUUAAAUGAGUGCAAUAGCUAUGCUGCUUCUUCUCAGGCUAAGGAAGUGAAGAUCUGGCCCAAACCCCGUCCUUACUGGAACAUUAGCAGUAUGUACGGAGCACAAAAAGGCAGCCUGGCAUAAGCAUGAAGAAAACACCUCACUGGAUACUCAGGAACAUUUCCUUCUUCUCCAGAAUGAAUAAUUCCUUGGCAUUCUACAUGCUGUUUCCAAGUUCAUAUUAAUGAUUAACUAGUCUCAAAACAGAUGUUUAUAAUUAAAUCACGGGUUAUAUAAGAUGGUUAACUGGUCUAAUGGCUGAAAGAAUGAAAGAGAAACUGAGUGUUUAAAUUCACUGUUGCAAGAAGGGAUACAGGAAGCAUUUCUUGUACAGAUGUAAUAUUUCUGUAUUGUUUUUCUUUCUCAUAGAGAUUCCUCAUCUUCUAAAUAUUCUCUUGUAUGAAACUUGUUUUAGUUUCCUUCACACCAGCAGAUUUAUUAUUCACUUCUAUCCCCAGAAAUUCUGACUCACAUGGUUAGGGAGUGUAGCCUUGCCUGUUCAAAUUUCUUACAGUGCUCUUUUUUAUGUCUUAGGUUUUUCUUAUCAGAAUCUCUCCAAGAUAUCACAUAAAUUAUGUUGAUGAUGGCUGGGGUUUUAGCUCAGUGGUUCAGGUGCCUACCUCACAAGUGCAAGGUCCCGAGUUCGAUCCCUGAUACCAAAUAAAUAAAUAAAUAAAUAAAAUUAUGUUGAUGAGCUAAUACUGCAUUGUUUGUAGCAGAAAAUACAUUAUUAGUUAUACCACAUGGGGUUCAGCAUGCACAAUAUUCUCUGCAAUUAUUGUAGAUGACGUUGUUUGCAAGUCAUAACUUCUAUGUCCACCAAUGUUUUAAUUUCGGCCUCACUUUCAGUUGAAAUUUCUACUAAUAUUUUUAUCUACUUGAAUCUUGAAGUUGAAGUAAGCUGAUUAGAUCCCAUUUUUUCACACACAUUAUAUUGUCCGACAUAAAGAAUUUAUUUAUGAAGUAAAUAUUAUAAAUUAAAAUCAAAUUUUCUUAUGUCUGCCUCUAAAUCCAAAACUGGCAGAGGGGGUACAAAUAAAACUAAGUGAAUUUCUGUCUGAGAACCCUCCCUCUCCUAUAAUCCCUGAGGUAUUCAUUCAGGCCUGUCACUUGCUGUUUUAUUUCUAACCAAACACUCCCUAGGCAAUGUACAGAAGACCACAUGGAUGACACUCAAGUUCAAAUGUCUGCAGAGGGUGAGAUUAUGCCACUCAAUCCUUAGCUUAUAAGUCAAUCAACUGAAAUGUCUCAGAAAUGUUUGUGUUUGGAUUUGGGUUUGAGACAAGAGCCAAUAAUAUCCUUCAAUGUGUUAUCCUCAGUCCUCAAGAUACUGAUACAGAAUUACUUAUAAUUACAGUUUGGUCAAAAACUAUUAGAAUGAAGCAAACUGGAAUGUAGGUGUUAAAGUACCAUCCUGUAGAAGAACACGUAAAAGCAAUCACUUGUGUGUUUAGUAUGUUUGUGCUCAAUGUAGCACCAUCUUUGUCAGGUGAUUACAUCACAAUUUUCUCAUUACCGCUUACCAGAUGAUAAUAAGCAACCCAUUAACUGGCUUAUAGCCCUUCCGCUUGGAUACUGCUGAGGUGGGAGCAGGACAGGUAUUUUUAACUGAAAGCCUGAGCUAAAAUGGUUUGAUGACAGUAUGAAAUUGGGUCUGCACUGCAAUGCAAUACUGAAAAAAAUAGAAUGCAAUAAAGAACUGUAGCCAUCACAUGUGAUUACUUCAGGCUCUACAGCUUCUCCUUUGGUUGUUUAGACACAGAAGCUUUUCUUUUGCAUUGCCAAAGGCCAUGGUCAGAAAAUCAGUAUGAUACCAGCUUACCUCAGGACGGAAGCUCUAAGAAGCAAGAUAUUUUUAAAAGCUGUAGAAGUUACCACCAGGCAGAAGCUAGCCAACAGAUGAAAAGCUAUAUUCACAAGACAUAUAUAUGGCCAGUGUGCAUGGGUUCCUGACAGUCUGGGGAGAAAAUAAAAUAAGAUUUCCAGUUUUCUGCUGAUCCAACACCAUUUCCCAUGGGUUGCACAAUAUACCAGCACCUAGUUAGCACGGCUGUGGUACAAAACCAUUGAAAGAAAAGAAAAAUGAGUUAUUCUUAAAACAUGUAAAAGCAAACUGAUUACAAGUAACAUUUUUCAGGUGGGGCAAUACUAAUAAGAAUUCUUGUGUCUAGUUUUUCUCCAAAAGAUCGUUUGGGAUGGAUCCAGAAGAUUCAAAGAUUCUCUAAGCAAUCUGGAUUUUAUAUUUUGUCAUGCUUCAGCUUGUGGCAGUUUGGAGUCAUCAUCGACUAUUAAUACCAUUAUUUAAACACAAAUAUUGUCCCUUUCCAUUAUGAAAAGCUAUUAUAAACAUAUACGG